RNAcentral lists this ribosomal RNA (200 nucleotides) under uncultured bacterium. Its description in RNAcentral is "partial 16S ribosomal RNA". It matches the Rfam family "Bacterial small subunit ribosomal RNA", at positions 29 to 254 of the family's 1533-position model. The record is from RNAcentral.
AACGAACGCUGGCGGCAGGCUUAACACAUGCAAGUCGAACGCGUGUAGCAAUACACGAGUGGCGCACGGGUGAGUAACACGUGGAUAUCUGCCUUUUGGUUCGGAAUAACCCUGGGAAACUAGGGCUAAUACCGAAUGGUUCCUACGGGAUAAAGAUUUAUCGCCAAAAGAUGAGUCCGCGUCCGAUUAGCUAGUUGGUG